RNAcentral lists this ribosomal RNA (253 nucleotides) under uncultured bacterium. RNAcentral describes it as "partial 16S ribosomal RNA". It matches the Rfam family "Bacterial small subunit ribosomal RNA", at positions 524 to 776 of the family's 1533-position model. The record is from RNAcentral.
UACGUAGGUCCCGAACGUUGCGCGAAUUUACUGGGCGUCAAGGGUCCGUAGGCGGUUUAGCAAGUGGUUGGUGAAAUUUCACGGCUCAACCGUGAAACUGCCUUCCAAACUGCUAAACUUGAGGCAGGGAGAGGUCGGCGGAAUUCCCGGUGUAGCGGUGACAUGCGUAGAGAUCGGGAGGAACACCAGUGGCGAAGGCGGCCGACUGGAACUGUCCUGACGCUGAGGGACGAAAGCUAGGGGAGCAAACCGG